ACCACGACUGCGUGCAGCCUUGCACGGUCCCACAAGGAGGACAAAGCUGUCCUAAAACCAGGAGGCAGCCCCAAGCCGGGGCUUGUUCCCUGUCCUGGGGCUCACUUAUAUGGGACCCAGGGGAGGGCUGAGGAGCCGCACAGGAUGAUAACUACGCUGUUUUGCUUGCCCCCUAAAUGCUGAGUGAGUGCUGGCUGUUGCUGUGUAAUUACAGUCACUACCUCCAGAGCUGCUACCAUGCCAAGCAGCCCUGCCUUGGCAGACAAAAACAACUGUGAGCAGGUCCAGCAAUAACGGUACUUAUCCCAUUAAGCACUUGGUUAAUUGCCAGGCUGAGAAAGGGAAUGGUGAGGAGAUGGGGGAACCCAGCUUUCGGACAAGCAGCAAGGCCCUCCUGUGCCUGAGGGUGCCACUGGCACCUCACUGGGCACUGAAGCCCCUUCUCACCCACCAGAGGCAGGUCAGGACAAGAAGGUGCCUCUCCGGGGCAGGUGGAAGCAGAUUUUUCAGGACAAGAAGGUGCCUCCCGGCACAGCCUGGCCACGCAGGGCUGGUUUGGGCUCAUCAUGUUGCCAGACACUGCAGAGGCCACUGAGGACACAAGAGCAUUUGCUUGGGAGCCGGGUGGCGGAAGGUAAGAGCCAACCAACUGCAUGACGUUGUUGUCAUCACUUCUGUUGUUCUCGUUUCUCCAGGACCAUCAACAGCAUAGCUUGCCUGCUUUAUUUAACUGCAGCUUCUGCACCCCUCCCUCAGGAAGAUGGAGCAGAGAGUCCCCGCUCUGCACAGAAAAAGCAGCAGCGACAAAGCCGACAGCAAAGUAAAUCUGCUCUGCAGGAACCUGGAUCUCCAUGAGCAGAUCAAAGUCCAAUUUAAAGGUAUCAUCCAAAUAGGAAAAAGCCCCACAGGACUGUAAUAACCAGCAGGCCAGGAACUUCAGCAAAUACCUCUGGGCUUCCCAGAAGAAGAGGUGUAAGAAAAGAUUCUUGUUCCCAAAAGGAGUUUUGGAACCAUGGAGUUAAAGGGAACACCUCCAUCCCCACUGUGGCAAGGUGAAAGGCACAGCAGCAGGGCCAGCAUGUCCAGCAUGACGCUGCUCCAACCACUUUGGGGGUCCUGGCCAAGGUGUGGGCCAAGCUGGGGUUCUGCAGAGUGACCCCCACAGCUCUCCUCUGCAGCUCCUUUCUGCUGAUAGCUGCAAAUUGCACACCGGAAAUGUCAAAAAGGUUGGUGUGUUUUUUCUUUUUUCUUUUUCCUUUUAAAUCUUGAAUCCAGCUGUAAAUAAUCCCAUCUAAUGAAGGGUAAGACUUGGGUUAAGAUAUAUUCUCAGAGCUUCUUGAGCCCGUGUGGGCAGUAGCCCUGUGUUCAGUGCAGACGGAAGGUUGCAGGGCACAGCUGGAUGAAUUAAUUGCCCCACAGAUGAGAUGCAUUUGCUGUGGUAUAAAUCAGCUGUCGCUUGUCAGGCAUGUUCCUGGCUUAUCAAUGGGAAGCAAAACAUUGCGGCGUAGCAGCUCCAUGAAAGGCCAUGUCCUGGAGCGGCACAAUUGGUGGGAGCACGGGCUGCAGAGGGGAUUACAAGAUAAGCAGGCUCUCCCACUUCUCCUAAAAGCUUGACAACUACCAGCAGCUGGCAGGAGAAUUCCAGCCCUACAUGGGCUGUAAUAAGAAGACGAACCAACUGGAGAACAAGAAAUACGACUCUGAUGGACCUUACAGAGCCCUUCUGGAAGCAGGAUUGCAGUGGUCUUCUCCGAAUCCAGGGAUGUGCAUGUGGGACGAGGCAGCUUGCAGCCACCCCUUCGUUUCCCCUGAAGGUCCCUAAGGAAAUGCUAUCCCACAGCUGGGGGCCAGCAUUGAGGAGAUGUCGCUCCACCCUCCAGGGCUGAUAAGGUAGGCAGCUGGCCAUGGUGUUACCUUGUGUGCCAACAGAGCCUCUUCCCACCUGAGGCUUCCACUUGGCAUAGAGCAUUAAGUGCGAGAUGUGGAAAGAGCAAAGUGUGGGGGAGCUGCUGGUUUCAUCGCUUUGGUGGGGCUCUUGGUGGUUCUUUUGUUUUUUUUCAUAGUGAGAUCAGAUGUGGCACUUCCCUAAAAACAUGGCAAUCCACGGGAGAGUUCAUUAGUUUGUGGCAAGUUGCAGCACUGAGGAAGCUGGCGGAAAGCAAAUGUUAUUGCAAAGAGUUAUCACUAAGGGGAGAGGAAAACAUGUCCCAAGGAAAUAAACUCGAUGGAGCAAAAAGUGGAACAAUAUAAAGCUAUAGAGGACAGGCAACUAGAGUUGAAUACUUCCUCAGAGUGAAAGCCCCCAGUCAUCUGUUUUUAAUGCCAAUGAUUGCUUUCUGCCUGUUCAGUGAAUACGUGGGACACAUCUGUUCAGGACUCCGCCUCUAAUAGGACAGCAAAUAUCACGACUGCAGCUGGCUGAACUUUUUUUUACCACCAUUAUACAAAAAUGUCUUUGUGCUCAUCAUCCAAUAUUGAUAACAGCACCAAAAGCAAAAAUCAGUUUUGCUUUUUUUUUAAAGAGUGUGUUUUAAUUCCAAGUGUCAUGGGAUUAUAUCUCAGAAAGGACUUUCCCCUGAAAACAAAUAAACAGACAAGCAAAAAAAAAAAUAAUACACACUAAAAUGUAGAUUUGAGCAGCUCUAAUGACGACCAGCCUGCCUCAAGUCUGAGAAAAGUUUAAGAAGCAAGGAGAAAGGAGAUGCCCACUUUCCUAAGUUUGACACAGCUGUACACUGCCAACUUUCUUAGCCUUGAGUCUCCAUCCAACUUGUACCAGCAACCGAAAAAGCAGCAUCAGGCUUGGAGAAGUGUUAAGGUAGAUGAAUCACGCUCUUGCUGAGUCUCAUGCCAGUUAAAACAUUGCAGAGGACUUUGGUUUGGGAUUGUCAGGGUUUUCCUUGUGCUUUCCCCUUUAUUUACUGGAAAAUAUAUUGCUACCAAGUCAAAGCAGAACACGGUGCUUCUUGAGAAGGACUGGUGUAGCCAGACCUGCCACUGAGGUGGGCAGCGCCCAUGUUCACACACUGCAUGGCCUGGGAGAAGAGCCUUGGGCCACAAAGACCCUCUCUGCAUAUGGAUGAAUCUGCUUGUGAGGCAGCAGGUGACUUCUUCUCCUUUCCCUUAUCUUCUCACCCAGGUUUCUGCCUCUGAGUUAUUGUGUGUUGCUGUUGGGGUGUAAUCCUGGUAGGUCUCCUGCCUGAGGACCAGGCUGGUCUUUUGGUGGCAGUGCAGCCCCUAGUUUUAGCACUGGUGAUCUUAGAAAUAAGAGACUAACUUCUUCAACAAGCUGCUUGAGGAGCAUGGGAUAGGUCAGAGAAUUCUCGGGCAGAUCAAAAGGCAGAGAUGUUUUUCUGACAGCCCUGGGGCUCCCUGUCAUGAUUUAUGAAUUAUAUAUGCUCCAUGUCUUUAACCAAAGGGACUCAGAGGGAGAACAUGGGUUGUUUAUUCAAGCAGGAAUGAGUGCGUGGCUUCAGAGAGCCACCAUCCACCAAGAAGUACCAUCUCCACAUCUGCAGAGCCAUCGCAGUGCAGAGGUGUCCAUCCAGCAGCCAUCACUGUGCUCCUCACCACAGAUCUGAGGUACGACCGCAGGUCCUGAGCGAACGUACUUGCUGAAAUUCCUGGGCAGAUGUUCUCCUCGGAGCUCUAGCAUAUCCCACGGGGCACAGCUCUCCUUUGGCGAGUGCUACGUGCCUUGGCAGGCUUUGAGUUUCAUGUCCUCCUUUGGAGGCUGGAUGCCCAAAGGCGAGCUGCUGGGUUCCCUGAGCUGUCGUCACAGUGGUGACGAGGGAGGCUUUCCAGAUUCUGAUGCAAAACAGGACAGGAAAACUCCUAAUUAUGAGGCCAGAGUGUUUCUGUGUGCUCAGUACAGUAAUCUCCGUAUCCAGUCUGUGACUUCUGGAUGGGUCGUAGUCCAUCUAGCAGAUAGUCUUGCAGUCACUGAAGGCUUUGAGCAACAAAACCCCACCACAUCCUGAGUCUGAGUAAUUACCUGCUGGAACAACUUUGCUGUUUUGUGAUCUAACACAAAAGCACCCGGUUUCAGCUUCCAGCAUGUAAAUCUCGCUUUUCCUUUGUCCGAUAGAAGAGGAAACCCUCUGCCAGAAAGCAUCUCUCUGGGAAUUUUUUGUGAGCGAUGACUACCUCACCUCUGAGCUCCCUCCUGCAACAACUAAAGGCACUGAAAGCUUUCAGUCCCUACUGUAGGACAGGUUUUCCCAUCCUGAACGAUCUUUGUAUUAUUUUGUUGCAGGUCCCUCUGCUAGGUAAAUCCAGAGCCACUUGCUGGAGGUGACUGGGGGAGUCAGGGAAAUCCAGCAGCUGAAAUUUCAGUGGUCAGGCUAUAGCCCUUUUUUCCACCACGUAUGGACCAAAGCGGUUGGAGACGCUGCUUGAUGACCGCUCAACCCUGCUGGUGAUUGAAAGGAUAGAGACAGGCAGCACAGAGCCCACCUUGUCUCAGCCAUCCUGGUGUGACCCCUUAGAGAGAACAACAAGGUCCCUGAGGACACCCAGCUGGUGCUGAGGGAGCAAUUCUGGGGUAGCUAGGACACCAUCACAGCCAUUUUCUCUGCAGUAAUUCCUAAAUCUGUGCUAGGACGAGUGACUUUGCUGCUGUCACCAACCCACCGCUGCCACCAACCCACCGCUGCCAGUCUUUGCGGAGAGGCUGAAUGACUGGUGGGAUUUGUUGCGUGAAGAACAACCAAAUGUGCAUUUUCUGCCAUUUUGGGAAACUUGCUGUUUCCUCUUCUCUUAAUGCCAAUGCAAAGUGGGCCCCCCAGGCACUUCUAUUGUCUCAGAGUCACUGUAGGGUUGAUACUAACACUAUAUGUGAUGGAUGGGAGGUAACCCCAGUAAACAUUUAUCACGGUUGAGCUGAAUCAGAGAGCGAGAGAGUGCGCCUUGGCUUAUUUUUUUUCCCCAUACUGAGACAAAUGUUGUCAUCGUAUCAUUCACGUAACCUUUCAGAUGAACUUAGUAAUCAUGAUAUGUUUUGGUUUGGCUUCUUUCAGAUUAAAACCCUGCCUUUCAGAAAAAGGAAACCAUAAGUUAAAUAACUCCAAAAUUAGGUAUUUCUGAAGGAUAAUUAGUGGUCUUCUUUCUUACCAAAAACAACCCAAGACUGUGCUUUAAAUAAUGCGUUGUAGUAAUUCCUUCAGUGCUGUUCCAAAUGUGAUUAAUUUAGCAGGAUGUUAUCAGUACAGCAUCCUACAUUUCAACCCAUACUUUAGGGUAUUAUCUACAGUAAUGACUACUACAUAUUUCUGCAACUCUUUGGAAAGUCAGCCUCAGCUUAUGUUGUAAAUCCCCCCAUCUGGGUCUCCCUGCUUCUGCAGGCUCACCAAGGAUCGUAUUUAAUACAUGCAAAUUACUGACUGACCCUAUUCCUUGAUUCCCUAUUUCAGUAGAUAGGGGGACCCGUGGAAAGUGGAUGCAGAUACAGAUCCCUGCCCCCAGUUAUUUCAAUUGCAUGCAAAUAUACGGGCACUAUAAUCCUAGCACUUCAUUGCUUUGACCAAAAAGCUAUUUUAUUUGCAUCAAAAGUUCUGUAGUGAGGAGAACGGGUCUGUGUUCGUAAAAGAGCUCACUGCAAAAAGUGCCAUUGUCCGUGCAAAUACAUAAAUACAUACUAUAUAGGGAUAUAUGUGUGUAUACACAUACAUCGGCAUUGUAUAUACAGAAAGACACACACACAUACUUAGGAGAUGUGUAUAUAACACUCACUUAUAUACAAAUCUAUUCCCUGUUAUGAAACAAUCAUCGAGAUAUAAACAAGAGAAUUUAAGCCAUGGAUGGGCACAUUUUCAAGUGCUGCUGGAGGGUUUUAUCUACAGUCCUGAAGAAGUGCUAUCAAAACCUAAACAGGGCACUUAUUACAAAGAAGUCUUUACGUAAGUGCUGGAAAGGUUUGCCGAAUAGCCAGAUGUUGUUGCAGAGACAGUUCUCCUCCCCCUCUCCCUGCUUCUUUCUGACUUUAACAGUUCGAUUAACUUUGCACAUAAACUGGGGCUGAUAAAGCUGCAAACUCCACUGCAUCUGGACACCGUUGAAGCCAGAUCAUUCAACGGUGCACGUUAAUCGCCUUUAAUCUCCCUUGAGAAAGUAAAAACUUCCACCAAGUCGUGCUGACCUACGCAUAUACUCCUGCGCUGUAAACACUGACAUCUGGGAGCUGCUCUCGGCGAGCACGCAGCGAUCUCCACCAAGCCAAGCGCUCGCCCUUCGCUGUACGACAAACCCGCAGCUGAUGCCGUCGGAGCAGGGCUAUGACCAGCUCGCUACGAAAUUCCCCUUUAU
Long non-coding RNA from Anas platyrhynchos (mallard), 6303 nucleotides. RefSeq lists it as uncharacterized. Lineage: Eukaryota; Metazoa; Chordata; Aves; Anseriformes; Anatidae. The record is from RefSeq and is a predicted model, not a curated record.